This 375-nucleotide ribosomal RNA is filed under the name uncultured bacterium. Its description in RNAcentral is "bacterial SSU rRNA". It matches the Rfam family "Bacterial small subunit ribosomal RNA", at positions 524 to 898 of the family's 1533-position model. The record is from RNAcentral.
UACGUAGGUGGCAAGCGUUGUCCGGAAUUAUUGGGCGUAAAGAGCAUGUAGGCGGGAAUCUAAGUCUGUUGUGAAAAUGCGGGGCUCAACCCCGUAUGGCGAUGGAAACUGGAUUUCUUGAGUGCAGGAGAGGAAAGGGGAAUUCCCAGUGUAGCGGUGAAAUGCGUAGAUAUUGGGAGGAACACCAGUGGCGAAGGCGCCUUUCUGGACUGUGUCUGACGCUGAGAUGCGAAAGCCAGGGUAGCGAACGGGAUUAGAUACCCCGGUAGUCCUGGCCGUAAACGAUGGGUACUAGGUGUAGGGGGUAUCGACCCCUCCUGUGCCGGAGUUAACGCAAUAAGUACCCCGCCUGGGGAGUACGGCCGCAAGGUUGAA